CAGUAGCCGCGGUAAUACGUAGGGUGCAAGCGUUAAUCGGAAUUACUGGGCGUAAAGUGUGCGCAGGCGGUCCGCUAAGACAGAUGUGAAAUCCCCGGGCUUAACCUGGGAACUGCAUUUGUGACUGGCGGGCUAGAGUAUGGCAGAGGGGGGUAGAAUUCCACGUGUAGCAGUGAAAUGCGUAGAGAUUUGGAGGAAUACCGAUGGCGAAGGCAGCCCCCUGGGCCAAUACUGACGCUCAUGCACGAAAGCGUGGGGAGCAAACAGGAUUAGAUACCCCUGUAGUCCCUGUCUCUUAUAC
Molecule: ribosomal RNA, 301 nt
Filed under: uncultured bacterium
Lineage: Bacteria
Description: partial 16S ribosomal RNA
Rfam family: Bacterial small subunit ribosomal RNA
Source: RNAcentral